Molecule: unclassified non-coding RNA, 682 nt
Filed under: Hevea brasiliensis (rubber tree)
Lineage: Eukaryota; Viridiplantae; Streptophyta; Magnoliopsida; Malpighiales; Euphorbiaceae
Source: RNAcentral
AAAAAAGUUCACAUUUUUACUACUAACUCAAACCUAAAAAAUCAAGAAAACCAAAAGGGUAUACAAGAAAGAGAGCAUUAGACUAGAUUAAAAUUUUACAAGGGUGGGGACUAUUAUCAAUAAUGAGAUCUUCUCUUGUUUUUUUUUCUUGUGUUUGAGCUUUUUUUUAUUGCUUCAUUGACAAUUGGGGUUUCUACCAGGGCCUCCAUAGUAAAAGUGAUGGCCCCAAUCUUCAUUACUACCUGUUUGGACAUCAUAACAGUUGGAUUGCUCAGUGAAGGUGCCAAGAUCUUUUGGAGAUUUAAGAUUAUUUGAGCUGUCAACAACUUGAAUGUUUCUGAAAUAACUUGACUUGCCAAAACCUUCUUCUGGGAAUCUACCACUUCCCAUUUGUGUAGCUGUAUGUUUACCAUCUGGUUGUGAAUUCACCACUUCACCACCCCACUCUAUCAUUGAUGCACUCUCUGCUAAAUAGGAAAACAAGAAAGAUGGCCAAUACCCUAACACAUAGUCGUUUCCAAAUUGCAUCCACCAAUGUCCUUCUUUCGGAUCCUUCCAGAUAAGAAUACUGAUAUCAUACUGAGAGUUUCUCAAGGCUGAAACAGGAGAGAUACUUGCUCCCAUAGCUAUAGCACUGCUAACUUGAAUGAAACCUGAGCAAAGAAGGUUGUAGCAACCUGUU